This 549-nucleotide ribosomal RNA is filed under the name uncultured bacterium. RNAcentral describes it as "bacterial SSU rRNA". It matches the Rfam family "Bacterial small subunit ribosomal RNA", at positions 355 to 896 of the family's 1533-position model. The record is from RNAcentral.
UGGGGAAUAUUGGACAAUGGGCGGAAGCCUGAUCCAGCCAUGCCGCGUGUGUGAAGAAGGCCUUUUGGUUGUAAAGCACUUUAAGUGGGGAGGAAAAGCUUAUGGUUAAUACCCAUAAGCCCUGACGUUACCCACAGAAUAAGCACCGGCUAACUCUGUGCCAGCAGCCGCGGUAAUACAGAGGGUGCAAGCGUUAAUCGGAAUUACUGGGCGUAAAGCGCGCGUAGGUGGUUAUUUAAGUCAGAUGUGAAAGCCCCGGGCUUAACCUGGGAACUGCAUCUGAUACUGGAUAACUAGAGUAGGUGAGAGGGGAGUAGAAUUCCAGGUGUAGCGGUGAAAUGCGUAGAGAUCUGGAGGAAUACCGAUGGCGAAGGCAGCUCCCUGGCAUCAUACUGACAUUGAGGUGCGAAAGCGUGGGUAGCAAACAGGAUUAGAUACCCUGGUAGUCCACGCCGUAAACGAUGUCUACCAGUCGUUGGGUCUUUUAAAGACUUAGUGACGCAGUUAACGCAAUAAGUAGACCGCCUGGGGAGUACGGCCGCAAGGUUA